GAUGAACGCUGGCGGCGUGCCUAAUACAUGCAAGUCGAACGCAUAGCGAAAGGUGCUUGCACCUUUCAGGUGAGUGGCGAACGGGUGAGUAACACGUGGACAACCUGCCUCAAGGCUGGGGAUAACAUUUGGAAACAGAUGCUAAUACGGAAUAAAACUUAGUGUCGCAUGACACAAAGUUAAAAGGCGCUUCGGCGUCACCUAGAGAUGGAUCCGCGGUGCAUUAGUUAGUUGGUGGGGUAAAGGCCUACCAAGACAAUGAUGCAUAGCCGAGUUGAGAGACUGAUCGGCCACAUUGGGACUGAGACACGGCCCAAACUCCUACGGGAGGCUGCAGUAGGGAAUCUUCCACAAUGGGCGAAAGCCUGAUGGAGCAACGCCGCGUGUGUGAUGAAGGCUUUCGGGUCGUAAAGCACUGUUGUAUGGGAAGAACAGCUAGAAUAGGAAAUGAUUUUAGUUUGACGGUGCCAUACCAGAAAGGGACGGCUAAAUACGUG
This 497-nucleotide ribosomal RNA is filed under the name uncultured bacterium. RNAcentral's name for it is "partial 16S ribosomal RNA". It matches the Rfam family "Bacterial small subunit ribosomal RNA", at positions 28 to 507 of the family's 1533-position model. The record is from RNAcentral.